Molecule: non-coding RNA, 84 nt
Organism: Periconia macrospinosa
Lineage: Eukaryota; Fungi; Ascomycota; Dothideomycetes; Pleosporales; Periconiaceae
Source: the annotation of a GenBank genome assembly
GGCUCGGUGGUGUAGUUGGUUAUCACGUCAGUCUAACAACGGUUAGCACACUGAAGGUCCCGAGUUCAAACCUCGGCUGAGUCA